RNAcentral lists this long non-coding RNA (394 nucleotides) under Selaginella moellendorffii. RNAcentral describes it as "long non-coding RNA (SMOE_LNC001915)". Lineage: Eukaryota; Viridiplantae; Streptophyta; Lycopodiopsida; Selaginellales; Selaginellaceae. The record is from RNAcentral.
CACUAGUUAACUGCAAGCCACCCUAGAAUUGGCAGAAUAGGGGCUCUAAAGCACCAAAUAAGGUGCAAUUGCCCCCUGUGAAUUCUAGCAUUCAGAAUUGCACCUGCAAAUUCUCCACCUACCUUGACAAUGAUCUAAUGCCGGCACUAGUGAUAGCCAAGAGACUGCUGAUGUCCACCAUGAUCUCCACCGCAAUCGAUUAAAUCAUCCAGUUACCUAAGAGAAAAUAUUGGAAGCAGGUCCACUCCAAAACAUUAGGGAUUGCAAUACCUCUUGGGAUUCUUCCAAGUAGCCACUAGUGUUGGUGUGUUAGCUCCACUCUAAAAUCUAUUGCUAUGACUAUGAUUUCUUCACUGUUUUCAUGGUAUCAGAGCAAUUGGCUCCUUGAUCUUGG